RNAcentral lists this transfer RNA (87 nucleotides) under Candidatus Zambryskibacteria bacterium RIFCSPHIGHO2_01_FULL_43_25. Its description in RNAcentral is "tRNA-Tyr". It matches the Rfam family "tRNA". From Rfam's summary of the family: Transfer RNA (tRNA) molecules are approximately 80 nucleotides in length. Their secondary structure includes four short double-helical elements and three loops (D, anti-codon, and T loops). The record is from RNAcentral. Lineage: Bacteria; Candidatus Zambryskiibacteriota. RNAcentral also lists the same sequence under 2 other names.
GCACAGGUGGCGGAGUGGUCAAUCGCAGUGGACUGUAAAUCCAUCGCCCAUUGGGCUACGGGGGUUCGAAUCCCUCCCUGUGCACCA